This 462-nucleotide ribosomal RNA is filed under the name uncultured bacterium. RNAcentral describes it as "partial 16S ribosomal RNA". It matches the Rfam family "Bacterial small subunit ribosomal RNA", at positions 28 to 507 of the family's 1533-position model. The record is from RNAcentral.
GACGAACGCUGGCGGCGUGCUUAACACAUGCAAGUCGAACGGGAAGGCCCUUCGGGGUUCUCGAGUGGCGAACGGGUGCGUAACACGUGGGUGAUCUGCCCUGCACUUUGGGAUAAGUCUGGGACACUGGGUCUAAUAUCGGAUCGGAACCCGGCAGUCAUGUGCUGUGGAGGAAAGGUUUUGCGGUGUGGGAGGGGAACGCGGCGGAUGAGCUUGUUGGUGGGGGAAUGGCCUACGAAGGCGACGACGGGUCACCGGCCGUGGAGGGUGACCGGCCACCCGGGGCCUGAGAGACGGCCCAGACUGCUACGGGGGGCAGCAGUGGGGAAUAUGGCACAAUGGGCGCGAGCCGGAGGCAGAGGCGCCGCGGGAGGGAUGACGGCCUGCUGGUUGUGAACCUCUGCCGGCAGGGACGAAGCGCAAGUGACGGUACCUGAAGAAGAAGGACCGGCCAACUACGUG